This is a long non-coding RNA of Humulus lupulus (European hop), 409 nucleotides long. RefSeq lists it as uncharacterized. The record is from RefSeq and is a predicted model, not a curated record. The transcript has 2 exons. Lineage: Eukaryota; Viridiplantae; Streptophyta; Magnoliopsida; Rosales; Cannabaceae.
CAGCAACAAUCGUACUCACUGUCGAACUAAACCGCAACAAUUUCUUAUAGUGGUGCGCUCAAUUGGAGAAUGUUAUUUUGGCAAAUGACAUUGAAGACUUUCGCGAUGGUACCUCUGUGGUUCCUCCGCAAACUAUCAAUGGUGUUCCGGGAUUAAACCCAAAAUUUGAGCAAUGCUUCCAAUACAACUUCAAACAAUCAAGAAAGGAGGUCUUCUGAUGAUGGAUUACAUGAUCAACUUCCUGCAAUUUCAUAACUAAUUUCAGAUCGUGAUCAGGUUUUGUAUCUCUUGGCUGGUUUAAGUGCAGAUAACAAUUCUUUUGUGGUUUCUAUUACCUCAAAAAUUCCGAAUGGAUUUCUUUCGAACAAAUUACUACUGACGAAUCUAAUGUUGUGGCUGCCAAUUUUGC